GACGAACGCUGGCGGCGUGCUUAACACAUGCAAGUCGAACGGAAAGGCCCUGCUUUUGUGGGGUGCUCGAGUGGCGAACGGGUGAGUAACACGUGAGUAACCUGCCCUUGACUUUGGGAUAACUUCAGGAAACUGGGGCUAAUACCGGAUAGGAUCUCCUGCUGCAUGGUGGGGGUUGGAAAGUUUCGGCGGUUGGGGAUGGACUCGCGGCUUAUCAGCUUGUUGGUGGGGUAGUGGCUUACCAAGGCUUUGACGGGUAGCCGGCCUGAGAGGGUGACCGGCCACAUGGGGACUGAGAUACGGCCCAGACUCCUACGGGAGGCAGCAGUGGGGAAUAUUGCACAAUGGGCGGAAGCCUGAUGCAGCAACGCCGCGUGCGGGAUGACGGCCUUCGGGUUGUAAACCGCUUUCGCCUGUGACGAAGCGUGAGUGACGGUAAUGGGUAAAGAAGCACCGGCUAACUACGUG
This 468-nucleotide ribosomal RNA is filed under the name uncultured bacterium. Its description in RNAcentral is "partial 16S ribosomal RNA". It matches the Rfam family "Bacterial small subunit ribosomal RNA", at positions 28 to 507 of the family's 1533-position model. The record is from RNAcentral.